Non-coding RNA from Schistosoma haematobium, 46 nucleotides. The record is from Rfam. NCBI's taxonomy places the organism in Eukaryota, Metazoa, Platyhelminthes, Trematoda, Strigeidida, Schistosomatidae.
GCACUGCUGAGGAGUCCCAUACUAGGACGAAACGGGCGUCUAGUGC